RNAcentral lists this long non-coding RNA (1372 nucleotides) under Salvator merianae (Argentine black and white tegu). Its description in RNAcentral is "lncRNA (ENSSMRG00000001997.1)". The record is from RNAcentral. Lineage: Eukaryota; Metazoa; Chordata; Lepidosauria; Squamata; Teiidae.
CCCUCCCCUCCCUCCCUCCCUCCCUUCCUGCCGGCCACACCCCCCGGCCGCCUGCCUGCCGCCCGCCGCGCCUGGCCCAGCACGGCUGGGAACCGCUGCUGCCUCGGCCGGCCGGUGUGAUCGCUGCGGUCGCGGUGGACGGGCCGGGUUGUUCAGCGGCGACUCCCGCCGUCCUGGUGCCGGGUGAGGAGCGAAGGGGGUCUCUGCGGAGCCCCUCCCACCCUUCCUCCCUCCCACCCACCGCCGGGGCCCCGAUCCGGCGGCAUGCGCGCCGCCCGGUCGUCGACAGGUGCCUUGGGGAGGGGGCUCCGGGCUGCCGCGGAGCAGCCAGGUCCGGGGACGGGGCGGGGGCUUCGCUGGCUGGGGGAGAGGUGAGGGGAGUACCUGGAUUCCCCUCCACCGACCUUCGGUGUCCGGCAUCCGUGUGUCCUGCCCCCUCCCGGUGGGACGCCGCCCCGGCGGAACCCGCAAACAGAACAGCAGAGCCCCACAGCCCCUGGAUGUAUUGGCUGGCCAUUUCCUUGGGAAGAAGGANGGAGAGCUGGAAGGGAGCCCUGGAAAGAAAUGCAUUUAUUAAUCCAUNAGCAAUGUGGAUCAUGUGAUCAGAGGCCAAAGGAAGAGUUACCAGCAUUUGAACAGUAUCUGCCUUGCAGCUGAGAAGCAAGCAGUGGAAACGACAGAUCAAUAUUAUAGAUAUCUUUUCCUACCUCGAGAUGUGGCUAUUUUCAGUGGAUCAACUGGCAAAAGAACANGAAUAAGUGACAUACUUCCAGUUUGCCCAAAAAGCGCCCACCUGUGUCACCUGAAACAAGUAUUUACUCGCCAUGGUGGCUUGGCUGAGCUCUGCUCACCACAGCUAACGAGUCAGCUUUCUACAAACAGUGCAGGAUGGCUGGUUGGAUGCAAUCCUGACCACCGUUCAUAACCAGCAGGAGAUUGGCUGUGGUUCCAGAGUACAGAAUCAGCUCCCAGCUCAGAGAGAAUGGUGGAAACAAAGUAUGCUCCCAUUUGCAAAGGACAACAUGCCCCAUCGCUUCCUAUGGACAGCUAGUUGCUUAUGGUCAAUNGCAAAGCUCAGGGAUCCAGAAUCAAGCAGAUCUGAAGGUGUCAGCCCUUUCUUGUUCUCUGCCCUACACCCUUCCCUCCAGAUGUCCUCCAGAUCGGAAGGCUGAAGAUGAGUCUUGUCACAGCUGGCACAGGCACCGUCCCUCUACUUGAGUGGAGCAAGCAGAUAAACACAUUGAUGUGGGCUUAGUUCACAAAAAAGCGCUGUGCAGGGGAAACGUGAUAAGCCUGCCUGCAUGCCUUGUUUUGGACUGACAAGUGGCUCUCGAUAAAUAAAUGCAAAGCCGAAUCUAGGCCCUGGAACCCU